This 4926-nucleotide long non-coding RNA is filed under the name Equus caballus (horse). RNAcentral's name for it is "lncRNA (ENSECAG00000053627.1)". The record is from RNAcentral. Lineage: Eukaryota; Metazoa; Chordata; Mammalia; Perissodactyla; Equidae.
CUCUGUAAACCUGGAAGCUUAUCUGUAUGAUUGCUGUUAAAGAUCACUUGGUAGCCGAUUACCAAGAGAUAGCCAACUCUCUCAGGGAAUUUUUGGAAGACCAUCAAGGCUCACAUGUUUAACAGGAUGCUGGAGAACAAAUCUUCGAGCUCUGGAAGGCUGGGCAACAGAAAUCGCAUGGCUCAUAUGCUGCUGCUGCGAUGAGUGUGACUUCCAUCUGCCCUGGCGUUACUGCAUCCCUCAUGCUCUCAUCAGCCUGGAAGGAUUGGCCUGGGCAGUGAGAGGAAGAUCUGCCCUUUUGAUCUCCCCUAACUCCCAAGGCGACACACAAAAAGAAGUCCCAAAGAGUGACUGGGGUAGAAUAGGACAGAAAUUUGGAUGCAAGAAAGCCCAAACUAUGACAUAUGUCCACUACAAUAAUUUUAUUUCAUCAAUCAUCAUCUAAUGACUACUGGAUAUAAGCCACACCCUGUGCCAGGUCUUAGAGACCCAAAGGUUUCUCUGAUUUGAAGGAAGAAGAGAUUAUGAAAAGAAGAGAACAAGAAGAGAAUGCUGAGUGGGCUGUGGAAUCUGGGUGAAAAAGGAUAUGACAAAGAGGAAAGUCCUAGAGGGUCUAUUCAUCAAGAGAAGACUCAGGAACCUCUAAACUGACAACCACACUCCAAGUCCAGGAAAGGGGCAAGAAAUUUCUUUCUUUCUACAGGGUUCUGUCUACAGACUCCUUUAGGCAUAUUCCUCUCCAGGGGAGUUGUGUUGGUCCUGGGUUCCGGGCUAUAUAUCCAUCAUAAAAUUUUCCUAGCCUGCUCCCCAAACUCUGCAUGUGUUCUCUGAGUCAUCGUGGCCAGGACCUCAGCUGUUGCAGCCCGGGGUCAUUCCCCAUGAGGCGCUCUUCUGCAUAAACAGUGUUAUUCCUCUGAGACCCACCUCCCCAUGCUCUGCUUAUCCUCAAUGCAAUUCAGCACACAAAUGUUGAACGCCUGCUCUAUGCCAGACAAAGCAGGCACAGUGUUCUUAACAAUUUUGAGUCUUGCAUCUCUUUAAAAAUCAUGGCAAAACAUGACAUUAAAAAACAUGACAGCUGUGGACCCUCUUUCUAGAAAAAUGCGUGUAUAUAUGAAUUUUUCUAGGCAAUCUCCGGAAGCCAGAUAAAAUACUCUAGGUUAAGAAGCUGCUGAAUGAAAAGAAAGUGAAUGAGACUUAGACACGUGUGGGGCUGAGACUUAGCUCUGUCAUUUACCAACAGUAGGACCGUGGGGGAGCGCCCCAAACUCUCCGAACCUCAGUUUGUUCAACCCUAAAAUGGGACUGGUAAGACUUGUCUCACCCUCAUGAGAUUGUAGUGAGAUUUUAUCAAAGGAUGGUUAUAGACAUAGAAAAUGUUAUAUCUGAGCACUCCCCACAUAUGUGAAUUGAUAAGGAUUUCAAAAUCUCACCCUUUGGAAGGAGGGAGGUGAAGAUUUGUGAUUGCCAAUGUUUUACAAAUGAAAAUUCUGAGGUAAGCUAAAAUGACAGGCUUUGCCAAAUUGAAUCUAAUCUUAUAAUUCCUCAGGGACAAGAAGACGAUAAAAUAUUAGGGACUAUAGAGUUUUCCAGAUCUGUUUCAGGCUCUGAUCUCGCCUUUGGGAGCCCCCUCAUUUGCCAACAGGGUGAAGAGCAACCUUGGCCCUCAUUCCUGGAAUCAUUUCUGUUGGUUGAUGUCUCUCUGAGGACUGCAAUGCUCACACAGAGAAACCGAUUCAUCUGGAAAUCCAAUACACCCGUGAUUCAUUUGGCUCAGAACUAAUCCGGGAGGAGGUUUCUUGGGGGUAUUAAAAUGUAUUCUCUUCACCUUCAGUGCUUUAAUAGUAGUUCUCCAGGGUUUUUGCCCUUACUUCAGUUCUCCCAAGAUGAUUCUAGGUUGAGAGUUUGGAUGAUGCUGCCAGAAAUAUGAUCGGUUCAGAAUAUCUGAGCCCACAUGCCGUUGUGAAGAAAGUGGUGAAGGAUUCAAGCUUGGCUUCCAUUUGCCUUGGAUAGUUGUAUUGAACCUGGAGCAGAUACUCCACUAAUAGGUGGAUAAGUAGGAAGAACUGGAAAUUUUCUGUUCAAAAUACGGACAGAAUCUGUUCCUGAGAAGUUUCUAGAAGCUCUUUAAAACAUUUGAUUGUGUUUACUUCUAAAAGUAGAGCACAACAGCUUGGUGUACUAAAGGUAUGUCAGCAGCCCUGUGUGCCAAAGGUUUGAACAUCACAAAAGCUUAGGAAGCCAGGGAGGGAGGGAAGAAGGAAGGAAGGAAGGCCAACAGAAAAUCGAAGCCAGUGCAAAUUCAAUGUCAGCAAUUCCCAAAUGAACACGAACCAGAUCCGUAGCUAAUGACGAGAGCGAGAACGUGGUCUUGGAGGCACACCUCGGUGUAGGCUCAGUCGUCUUCUUUACAGGAGCAUUUCAUGGGAGGCAUCUGAAGACACGGACCCUCCCCUUCUUUACUUAAGACUUUUCUGGGCAGAAAAAUAUUGCAUUAAGUCUUUUUUCAGAUGAGCAAACAAAUAACGGCUGUUUGGAGAGUCACUAAAAAUACGGUGUAACAUUAAAAAUUAAAUAAAAAUAGAUCAUAACCCGGAACAUUUUUAUUGGGCUUUAUAGAAAAUCUCAGACUUGGGUAGACUUUCCUGCUUUUGACCCUCACAACAGCCCUGCAAGGCAGAUAAAACAUACAGCUUUUAUUAAUCUCAUUAUGAAAUCAAACUAAGGCUCCAUGGGCUGUAUAAGGCCACAGACUGUCCUGUCUCAGCUUUGUGGUUCUCUUCAAGUCAUCAGGCCACAGCAGGAGAGAAGGAAGAAGCUCUGAAUCGAUAGCUGGCCAUAGGGGAAGAGGAUGGAAAUUGGGACAUGGGCUCCUAUGAGUUCCCACACCAAAGGCCAGACACACUAGGUACAAUCCAGGGCUGCUUGAGUCUUAUGGUCCGAGGGCAAGCACAAAAUGAGGCUGGAUAGGGAAAGCUGAGAUGGCAAGGAGGCCAUUGGAGUGAUCUGCAUGGAUUCCUGAGGAGUUGGAGUGGCCCACAUCCUGUCGUGGGAGCGUUUUGGUAAAGGGUCCGAGGCUCUGCUUCCAUUGGCCUUUGAUGGUUUUGUUGAGAUUUGAACUGGGGCUGGUAGUCCACUAGUGAAUGGGAAGAACUUCAAACCCAGGAUUUUCUAGAUUCUUUAGUCCAGUGCUGUUUCUUCUUCAGUAAGUGUUUUGUGUAGAAAAAACAAAAAUAUGUAUGUGCAUUUUAACGACUUGUCUCUGGCAGCAAAAUGAAAACCGUGAAUCAACUAGAGCCAAGUCCUGUGUGCAGGACAUCCCCGACCUUAAUCAUACAAAGGUGCCUGUCAAAAAGGGGCGGUAAGUGCUGGGAAGUGUCUGCAUCGUGCCUGAACCACUAGGAACUAAAAACAUCCGCUGGAGGGGUGCUUCCUUUCUUCUUCAAGGAGGUAAGUAGAAGUAACCUCCCCACCUAUUGGAGCCAAAAUGCAGCUUCCCAUCGGUGAGCCCAGCAAUCUUUCUUUCCCUUGAACAAGGUUCCCAUGUGGGUUCAUGAGAAGAUGAGUACUUUGGGACAUUAACAGAGGUUAUCCAAAGAAAGGCUUAGGGGCAAAACAUGGUGCUGAGAUAAACAAAGCUUCAGCAGGCUUUUCACUGCAGACCGUUCAGAACCCUUAAUACUCCAGGUUGACUUGGCCCACCAUUGCUUCUGCUGGCACCACAGACCCUUUUGAGUCUCUGUUCCACUGCUCUGAGGCCAUUUCAUCUCUCACCAAGGCCUCCUGGCACGUCCAUUGGCUCUCAAUUCAGCUUUGUUGUCCCCUGAGAGGGUAACAUGGGGACUGUGGGGUGCCUUCCACAUCACCUAGGAGCCAAACUCCCUCCACUACAUCAUGCUGUGCCCUGAGUUUUCUCUGAUGUGGCUGCACAUGGAAGGUUGGUAUGGGGAGCUCACAGGGGAAUCUCCUCCCAGGGUUCCAAGUGAGACGUGAGGUAGAAAUGCUGUCCCGAGUUUCUCUCCACUCAUCUGCCACACUACCUUAGCCCAGAGGCGUGCCCGCCCAACUGCCGGUUUCUCCUUCCCUAGUCUCUUUUCUUUUCCCAUUGAUUGAGACUCUUUGACCUAAAAGGCUAGGAUCAAUCGAUUGUCUUCAGGCCCACCAGCACUGCACUUCUCCCUAAAGGGUCGGGAUAGAGGGACUUACAAAACCCUUCCCGCAAAGACAAAGCUUGGAUUCCAAGACUAUUUUCUCACUUCAAAAUCCUAGUUCGGAUGCUAGAAGCUAAACGUUAUCUCUUCAUCUUUCUUUGCAUCUAUAAGAUCCCUAAAAUUCCCCAAAGCAAAACAAUUCCCCUUGAAGAAAAAGGAGGAGUCAUCAGUACAAGAAAAAAAUGUAUUUGUAUGUUUUAAAAUAUUAUUUUGAUUAUCUGGGAUUUGCUGCUCAGAGAAUAGUAUGGCCAACCAAAUAGAGUUAGUGGGACCUAAAACAUUUAAUUGAACAAAAUGGGGGAUCGUUCUUAUGAGAGUUAGUGAAAAACAGUUAUUUUCAGUCUGUCCCCAGAGUUACAAAAUGCACAAAGGUAAAAUAAUGACAUGUGUACUGUACUCAACUGCCUCCAGCUGAACUGAGAAAGCCGGAAAUGCCUACUAGUCAGUCACUUCCUUGCCCGGCCUGCUGCAGACUUAAGAACCUUAGCCAAGCCCCAUGUGAACACAGAGCACAGGGCCAGAUGCAUGCUCUCACAGGCUCGCGCUAGGAUCAUAAUCACCCAAUAGGCUUCCAACCUUUAGAGUACUACAGGCCCAGAUUUUAGGGGACUAAGAUGAACAGUUCUACUUGAGAUUGCUCAAAUUUAUAGCUUCUGUGGUUGGAAGAUCUUUUAAAAUUAUUCUUAUAAAAAAUUGCAAACAUAUAGAAAGGAAC